RNAcentral lists this small nuclear RNA (18 nucleotides) under Arabidopsis thaliana (thale cress). RNAcentral describes it as "snRNA_13478". The record is from RNAcentral. Lineage: Eukaryota; Viridiplantae; Streptophyta; Magnoliopsida; Brassicales; Brassicaceae.
GGCGGGGUACAACCCCUG